This 438-nucleotide ribosomal RNA is filed under the name Triticum aestivum (bread wheat). RNAcentral's name for it is "partial small subunit ribosomal RNA". Lineage: Eukaryota; Viridiplantae; Streptophyta; Magnoliopsida; Poales; Poaceae. The record is from RNAcentral.
AUGGUGUGUGUGCUAUGCGUGGGUGUUAACCUAGAAGCCAACUAUGCUCAGAGGCCAACCCAGAAGCGAACCCUUUGCAUGGGUGCUCCGGGGGGUUUAUAUAGGCCUACCCCCCGGGGGUACAAUGGUAAUCCGACUGGGAUCUGGUCCCAGCCGUCAGUGUCUACGCUCGCCGGCUUCUUCGCCGGCUGCUGGGUCCCGCCGGCUGCCGGCUACUUGGUCGACAGGCCGGUCCCACCGCCUAGGGUCUUGUCGGCGGCUGCUUACUGUAGCCGCGCCUCUGAUGAUGAGGGCUUUGUCGAGGUGAGCGUGGCUACAGUGGGCCGCCUCGGGGGCUAUCACUGUAGCCUCACCUCGUCUUGUCUCCUUAAUGGGGCUCCUGCUUCGAGGAAGGGAGUGGCCGGCUUCUGGAGGCCGGCUAUGCUCCUGGCCGACUAG